GGGUGUUUAACUGGCGUGAUGUGGGACGUCCUACCGGUGGGCUUAGCCUCGCGAGGGGCGGCCCAACUAAUAUCCCGUCGCGGUGCUCUUUACUGAGUGUCGAGUCGGGCCGGUACGUUUACUUUGAACAAAUUAGAGUGCUUAAAGCAGGCUAUCCUCGCCUGAAUACUGCGUGCAUGGAAUAAUGGAAUAGGACCUCGGUUCUAUUUUGUUGGUUUUCGGAACCCCGAGGUAAUGAUUAAUAGGGACAGAUGGGGGCAUUCGUAUUGCGACGUUAGAGGUGAAAUUCUUGGAUCGUCGCAAGACGGACAGAAGCGAAAGCAUUUGCCAAAAAUGUUUUCAUUAAUCAAGAACGAAAGUUAGAGGUUCGAAGGCGAUCAGAUACCGCCCUAGUUCUAACCAUAAACGAUGCCAGCUAGCGAUCCGCCGAAGUUCCUCCGAUGACUCGGCGGGCAGCUUCCGGGAAACCAAAGCUUUUGGGUUCCGGGGGAAGUAUGGUUGCAAAGCUGAAACUUAAAGGAAUUGACGGAAGGGCACCACCAGGAGUGGAGCCUGCGGCUUAAUUUGACUCAACACGGGAAACCUCACCAGGCCCAGACACCGGAAGGAUUGACAGAUUGAUAGCUCUUUCUUGAUUCGGUGGGUGGUGGUGCAUGGCCGUUCUUAGUUGGUGGAGCGAUUUGUCUGGUUAAUUCCGAUAACGAACGAGACUCUAGCCUGCUAAAUAGGCGUACCUUAUGGUAUCGCGAAGGCCCCCGGCUUCGGCCGGUGGGUUUUUACUACCAACGUACAAACAAAUCUUCUUAGAGGGACAGGCGG
This 819-nucleotide ribosomal RNA is filed under the name uncultured eukaryote. RNAcentral describes it as "SSU rRNA". It matches the Rfam family "Eukaryotic small subunit ribosomal RNA", at positions 636 to 1426 of the family's 1831-position model. The record is from RNAcentral.